This 72-nucleotide transfer RNA is filed under the name Acidimicrobiales bacterium. RNAcentral describes it as "tRNA-Thr". It matches the Rfam family "tRNA". Rfam says of the family: Transfer RNA (tRNA) molecules are approximately 80 nucleotides in length. The record is from RNAcentral. RNAcentral also lists the same sequence under 1 other name. Lineage: Bacteria; Bacillati; Actinomycetota; Acidimicrobiia; Acidimicrobiales.
GCCUGGGUAGCUCAGUGGUAGAGCAGCGCACUCGUAAUGCGCAGGCCGUGGGUUCAAUCCCCACCCCAGGCU